Triplophysa rosa is the source of this 703-nucleotide long non-coding RNA. RefSeq lists it as uncharacterized. The transcript is spliced from 6 exons. Lineage: Eukaryota; Metazoa; Chordata; Actinopteri; Cypriniformes; Nemacheilidae. The record is from RefSeq and is a predicted model, not a curated record.
AUAAACGGUGGAUAUAACGCUGGAUUUGGAGAUCGUUUGAAACUGAUAGAUGGAGCAGUCUCAGCGCUAAAAGAAGCCGGUCAUGAACCGCACACGGGAAGUGAAACGGAGUCAUGUCUGUGUUUUGUUGACAAUCGGUGCAUACGUGUAUAAGAUGUUCCUGCUGUAAAUCUAGGGAACCGGGCAGGAGACGACAUUUAUUUUCAGGUACAGUAAUUUACCUGAGGACUUCAUAUCAUGCCUCCCUCUCUAACCAGGAGAACCUGACCUGUUGCGUUUGUGUCGCUCCGCCUGACCUCAGUCAGUGACCUGCAUAUUAAUCCUCACUGUGGAACUAUGUUAACUGAAGCCUACGAACAAUAAAAUGACACGUUUCACGACAAGCCAAGUGUGGGGAAAACCGUUGAGGAUGUUUCGGUCUUCUCUGACUUGUUCCACGCCACCGGAAGGCCGUGUAGACGGAGCGCUGGGUCGGCAGUCAGCUCAGCGCUGAUUGAAACCCAAUCCACAUACCCCCUCCUCCCUCUAAAACGCACCGCACAGCUGCCGCAAAGAUCAAAAGCUCCAUUCCCUCUCGCAGGAAUGGAAAAAUAGAGGCCCCGCUGUGUCUCGCUCGCUCGGCCGUGGAUGCUCGGCCCUUAUCCUGCGGUCCUCUACAGAGCGCUUGUUUCUGAUUGGUCAAGCAUCACUCAGCGCUCACUCC